AGAACGAACGCUGGCGGCAUGCCUAACACAUGCAAGUCGAACGAGACCUUCGGGUCUAGUGGCGCACGGGUGCGUAACGCGUGGGAAUCUGCCCUUGGGUUCGGAAUAACAGUUAGAAAUGACUGCUAAUACCGAAUAAUGACGUAAGUCCAAAGAUUUAUCGCCCAAGGAUGAGCCCGCGUAGGAUUAGCUUGUUGGUGAGGUAAAGGCUCACCAAGGCGACGAUCCUUAGCUGGUCUGAGAGGAUGAUCAGCCACACUGGGACUGAGACACGGCCCAGACUCCUACGGGAGGCAGCAGUGGGGAAUAUUGGACAAUGGGGGAAACCCUGAUCCAGCAAUGCCGCGUGAGUGAUGAAGGCCUUAGGGUUGUAAAGCUCUUUUGCCAGGGAUGAUAAUGACAGUACCUGGAGAAUAAGCUCCGGCUAACUCCGUGCCAGCAGCCGAC
Molecule: ribosomal RNA, 447 nt
Filed under: uncultured bacterium
Lineage: Bacteria
Description: SSU rRNA
Rfam family: Bacterial small subunit ribosomal RNA
Source: RNAcentral